AGGAUAGCUCAGUUGGUAGAGCAACUGAUUCGUAAUCAGUAGGUCGUGAGUUCAAUUCUCAUUCCU
Molecule: transfer RNA, 66 nt
Filed under: uncultured Pseudodesulfovibrio sp.
Lineage: Bacteria; Pseudomonadati; Thermodesulfobacteriota; Desulfovibrionia; Desulfovibrionales; Desulfovibrionaceae
Rfam family: tRNA
About the family: Transfer RNA (tRNA) molecules are approximately 80 nucleotides in length. Their secondary structure includes four short double-helical elements and three loops (D, anti-codon, and T loops). Further hydrogen bonds mediate the characteristic L-shaped molecular structure. tRNAs have two regions of fundamental functional importance: the anti-codon, which is responsible for specific mRNA codon recognition, and the 3' end, to which the tRNAs corresponding amino acid is attached (by aminoacyl-tRNA synthetases). tRNAs cope with the degeneracy of the genetic code in two manners: having more than one tRNA (with a specific anti-codon) for a particular amino acid; and 'wobble' base-pairing, i.e. permitting non-standard base-pairing at the 3rd anti-codon position.
Source: RNAcentral